This 277-nucleotide ribosomal RNA is filed under the name uncultured bacterium. RNAcentral's name for it is "partial 16S ribosomal RNA". It matches the Rfam family "Bacterial small subunit ribosomal RNA", at positions 28 to 316 of the family's 1533-position model. The record is from RNAcentral.
GACUAACGCUGGCGGCGUGCUUAACACAUGCAAGUCGAACGAAGUAGCAAUACUUAGUGGCAGACGGGUGAGUAACGCGUAGAUAACGUGCCCUCUCGCGGGGGAUACCGUUUCGAAAGGAACGUUAAUACCGCAUAAAAUGUUGACGUGGCAUCACAUUGACAUCAAACUCACGGGGUGAGAGGAGCGAUCUGCGUUCUAUCAGCUAGUUGGUGAGGUAGUGGCUCACCAAGGCUACGACGGAUAACUGGUCUGAGAGGAUGAUCAGUCACACUGG